AAAAGAUGGUUCUGCUAUCACUCUUGGAUGGACCUGCGGUGCAUUAGCUAGUUGGUAAGGUAACGGCUUACCAAGGCAAUGAUGCAUAGCCGAGUUGAGAGACUGAUCGGCCACAUUGGGACUGAGACACGGCCCAAACUCCUACGGGAGGCAGCAGUAGGGAAUCUUCCACAAUGGACGCAAGUCUGAUGGAGCAACGCCGCGUGAGUGAAGAAGGGUUUCGGCUCGUAAAGCUCUGUUGGUAGUGAAGAAAGAUAGAGGUAGUAACUGGCCUUUAUUUGACGGUAAUUACCUAGAAAGUCACGGCUAACUACGUGCCAGCAGCCGCGGUAAUACGUAGGUGGCAAGCGUUGUCCGGAUUUAUUGGGCGUAAAGCGAGUGCAGGCGGUUCAAUAAAUCUGAUGUGAAAGCCUUCGGCUCAACCGGAGAAUUGCAUCAGAAACUGUUGAACUUGAGUGCAGAAGAGGAGAGUGGAACUCCAUGUGUAGCGGUGGAAUGCGUAGAUAUAUGGAAGAACACCAGUGGCGAAGGCGGCUCUCUGGUCUGCAACUGACGCUGAGGCUCGAAAGCAUGGGUAGCGAACAGGAUUAGAUACCCUGGUAGUCCAUGCCGUAAACGAUGAGUGCUAAGUGUUGGGAGGUUUCCGCCUCUCA
Molecule: ribosomal RNA, 653 nt
Filed under: uncultured bacterium
Lineage: Bacteria
Description: bacterial SSU rRNA
Rfam family: Bacterial small subunit ribosomal RNA
Source: RNAcentral